RNAcentral lists this ribosomal RNA (834 nucleotides) under Ramularia endophylla. RNAcentral's name for it is "eukaryotic LSU rRNA". The stretch from base 1 to 188 matches the Rfam family "Eukaryotic small subunit ribosomal RNA", at positions 1646 to 1831 of the family's 1831-position model. Lineage: Eukaryota; Fungi; Ascomycota; Dothideomycetes; Mycosphaerellales; Mycosphaerellaceae. The record is from RNAcentral.
UACGUCCCUGCCCUUUGUACACACCGCCCGUCGCUACUACCGAUUGAAUGGCUCAGUGAGGCCUUCGGACUGGCUCAGGGAGGUCGGCAACGACCACCCAGAGUCGGAAAGUUGGUCAAACUCGGUCAUUUAGAGGAAGUAAAAGUCGUAACAAGGUCUCCGUAGGUGAACCUGCGGAGGGAUCAUUACUGAGUGAGGGCUUCCGACCCGACCUCCAACCCUUUGUGAACACAUCUUGUUGCUUCGGGGGCGACCCUGCCGUUCGCGGCAUUCCCCCCGGAGGUCAUCAAAACACUGCAUUCUUACGUCGGAGUAAAAAGUUAAUUUAAUAAAACUUUCAACAACGGAUCUCUUGGUUCUGGCAUCGAUGAAGAACGCAGCGAAAUGCGAUAAGUAAUGUGAAUUGCAGAAUUCAGUGAAUCAUCGAAUCUUUGAACGCACAUUGCGCCCCCUGGUAUUCCGGGGGGCAUGCCUGUUCGAGCGUCAUUUCACCACUCAAGCCUCGCUUGGUAUUGGGCGUCGCGAGUCUCUCGCGCGCCUCAAAGUCUCCGGCUGUGCGGUUCGUCUCCCAGCGUUGUGGCAACUAUUUCGCAGUGGAGUUCGAGUCGUCGUGGCCGUUAAAUCUUUCAAAGGUUGACCUCGGAUCAGGUAGGGAUACCCGCUGAACUUAAGCAUAUCAAUAAGCGGAGGAAAAGAAACCAACAGGGAUUGCCCUAGUAACGGCGAGUGAAGCGGCAACAGCUCAAAUUUGAAAUCUGGCGCAAGCCCGAGUUGUAAUUUGUAGAGGAUGCUUCUAGGUAGCGACCGGUCUAAGUUCCUUGGAACAGGACGUCA